This 103-nucleotide microRNA precursor is filed under the name Marmota monax (woodchuck). The record is from RNAcentral. Lineage: Eukaryota; Metazoa; Chordata; Mammalia; Rodentia; Sciuridae.
AGUGGGAUUGCUGGGUCAAAUAGUGGUUCCAUUUCACGUUUUCUGAGGAAUCUCUAUAUUGCUUUCUGUAAUGGUUGCACCAAUUUGCAGUCCCACCAGCAAU